CCCCUGACGCUGCCUUAGUCUGGUCGGGGGCAGGUGCGGCGGAGGUGUCCCCGAAGGAGAAGGGGGCGGAGGGCAAAGGUCAAAGCCAAGCUUCCGGCGGGCCGGGGAGCCCACACCGAGGGCAGGAGGGAGGGGUUAGGGCCGGCCGGGGCCGAAUUGGGCCCCCAGGGCGGAAUCGCGCCUACGGAGAGCAACGCCUCUGUUAUCUAAUCGAGAACCAGAUUAACAGCCGAGGAGGAAAAAAAGGCAAGAAGGCAUUCUUCAGAUUGGAGGAAUCUUAACUCAACACCCCAGUCUCCUUGCCAGUGGCCAAGGACACUGGUUCUUUUCAAGGCACGUUUCUACCUCUGGACCACCUCAGCCCUUGGAUUUAUGCGGUCCCUAGAAAGGUCUAGAAAGUCAAAGGUCAGGAAGAGGCAUCCUGCGUCUGGUGAGGGAGCCUGUUCAGAGCCCUCAACGGGGACAAGGACACAAUUCGAGCGUGAGCGUUUCCUGUGCCGGAGGGACUUAUGAAACCGCGAGCGGAAAUCGGGUGCCCGGCGGGGGACGCGGCGACGUUUCAGCGUCGCCCACGUUUCUGGCCCCGGCAGCCAAGACCCCCACGACCUGCCGGCUUCUCGGCCGGCGCUGCGACGAUGGGGAACGACAGUUACACCCGAAAGGAAUCAACAACUCCUCGCAGGGCCACGACUCGCGUUGCUCCGCACGCGCAGGUUCGGGCCCGGCUUUCAGCAAUACCCACCCCACCCGCUCCCGAUCGCUAAUCACUCGCUCGCAAUUUGUGGGCUGCGAUGGAGCUGCGCCCCGGGCUGCAGUCCCCCCCAAAUGCAAGCCCUUUGGCAGCUCGGACACCCAGCGAGCUGUCCUCACGCACGCCAGGCCGGCACCUCCCGCUGGCGCUCGCCUCUCCCCGCCCUGUUCCCAGCAGCUGAAAUGGAUGUGAUUUCACGCACACCCUGCGCGCGCACACACAUGCACACGCACUCUCCCGCCGACGCCGCCGGCACACGCGCACGAGCCUGGACGUUUCCUUAUUGCGCUCGCUUUGCGGGACAUGCUUUCCGGCUCCGGGUUCCCUCUUUUCGCUCCUUCACCUCUUCUUCCUUCGCCACUUUCCUUCUGAGCUUCCCGCCCUCCCCGAACCUGGCCUGCCUCAUUCCCCUCCAGC
Bos taurus (domestic cattle) is the source of this 1168-nucleotide long non-coding RNA. The record is from Ensembl. Lineage: Eukaryota; Metazoa; Chordata; Mammalia; Artiodactyla; Bovidae.